Molecule: ribosomal RNA, 111 nt
Filed under: Bacteroidales bacterium
Lineage: Bacteria; Pseudomonadati; Bacteroidota; Bacteroidia; Bacteroidales
Source: RNAcentral
UAAGGUGGCUAUAGCAACGGGGUUCCACCUCUUCCCAUACCGAACAGAGAAGUUAAGCCCGUUAGCGCCGAUGGUACUGCGUAAAAGUGGGAGAGUAGGUCGCCGCCUACU